AACGAACGCUGGCGGCAGGCCUAACACAUGCAAGUCGAACGCUCCAGCAAUGGAGAGUGGCAGACGGGUGAGUAACGCGUGGGAACCUUCCCUAUGGUUCGGAAUAGCUCAGGGAAACUUGAGGUAAUACCGGAUAAGCCCUUCGGGGAAAGGAUUUAUUCGCCAUUGGAUGGGCCCGCCGUAGGAUUAGCUAGUUGGUUGAGGUAACGGCUCACCAAGGCGACGAUCCUUAGCUGGUCUGAGAGGAUGAUCAGCCACACUGGGACUGAGACACGGCCCAGACUCCUACGGGAGGCAGCAGUGGGGAAUAUUGGACAAUGGGCGCAAGCCUGAUCCAGCCAUGCCGCGUGAGUGACGAAGGCCUUA
Molecule: ribosomal RNA, 366 nt
Filed under: uncultured bacterium
Lineage: Bacteria
Description: bacterial SSU rRNA
Rfam family: Bacterial small subunit ribosomal RNA
Source: RNAcentral